GGAGAGGUGCCAGAGCGGUUGAACGGGGCGGUCUCGAAAACCGUUAGGCCCUUACGGGUCUCGAGGGUUCGAAUCCCUCCCUCUCCG
Molecule: transfer RNA, 87 nt
Filed under: Candidatus Zixiibacteriota bacterium
Lineage: Bacteria; Pseudomonadati; Candidatus Zixiibacteriota
Description: candidate division Zixibacteria bacterium (sediment metagenome) tRNA-Ser
Rfam family: tRNA
About the family: Transfer RNA (tRNA) molecules are approximately 80 nucleotides in length.
Source: RNAcentral